GACGAACGCUGGCGGCGUGCCUAAUACAUGCAAGUAGAACGCUGAAGGAGGAGCUUGCUUCUCUGGAUGAGUUGCGAACGGGUGAGUAACGCGUAGGUAACCUGCCUGGUAGCGGGGGAUAACUAUUGGAAACGAUAGCUAAUACCGCAUAAUAGCAGUUGUUGCAUGACAACUGUUUGAAAGGUGCAAUUGCACCACUACCAGAUGGACCUGCGUUGUAUUAGCUAGUUGGUGGGGUAACGGCUCACCAAGGCGACGAUACAUAGCCGACCUGAGAGGGUGAUCGGCCACACUGGGACUGAGACACGGCCCAGACUCCUACGGGAGGCAGCAGUAGGGAAUCUUCGGCAAUGGACGGAAGUCUGACCGAGCAACGCCGCGUGAGUGAAGAAGGUCUUCGGAUCGUAAAGCUCUGUUGUAAGAGAAGAACGAGUGUGAGAGUGGAAAGUUCACACUGUGACGGUAUCUUACCAGAAAGGGACGGCUAACUACGUG
RNAcentral lists this ribosomal RNA (495 nucleotides) under uncultured bacterium. RNAcentral describes it as "partial 16S ribosomal RNA". It matches the Rfam family "Bacterial small subunit ribosomal RNA", at positions 28 to 507 of the family's 1533-position model. The record is from RNAcentral.